UAUGGUGUAGUGUUAAGGCACACAAAGUUUUGGACUUUGAAGUGAUGGGUUAAAUUGUCCUCCAUAA
RNAcentral lists this transfer RNA (67 nucleotides) under Semelidae sp. STW-2017. Its description in RNAcentral is "tRNA-Gln". The record is from RNAcentral. Lineage: Eukaryota; Metazoa; Mollusca; Bivalvia; Cardiida; Semelidae.